Molecule: long non-coding RNA, 288 nt
Organism: Gymnodraco acuticeps
Lineage: Eukaryota; Metazoa; Chordata; Actinopteri; Perciformes; Bathydraconidae
Exons: 4
Source: RefSeq, a predicted model, not a curated record
AAGGUGUGCCUGCAGUCUACAAGAGCCUUUAUGAGGAUGAAAGGCUGCAAGGUGUCAAGAUGGACAUGCAGCACCCUCCCCCAUAAUCGCCAACAAGACAGCACAUCCUGUGGUGUCCUGGCCUUAAAAUUUGCAGAGAAGAUUUUACUGGGGGAGUCAAUUGAGUUUGAAAGCUCACAGAAGGCAGUGCACGAGCUGAGGCUGGACAUUGCUACUUCUCUCCUCAGAGAAUCUGAUGAUCUAAGCAGGCUUUGCUUUUACUGCGGGAUGGAGGAGCAGGAUGAAGAA